UAUCUUUGCACACGAAUUGAGAGAAUCUCGAUUCAUACAUAAUAAUCAUUAAAAAUAAUAUUGGAAUG
Molecule: non-coding RNA, 68 nt
Filed under: unclassified sequences
Description: S15-Flavobacteria ribosomal protein leader
Rfam family: S15-Flavobacteria ribosomal protein leader
Source: RNAcentral